RNAcentral lists this ribosomal RNA (611 nucleotides) under uncultured bacterium. Its description in RNAcentral is "bacterial SSU rRNA". It matches the Rfam family "Bacterial small subunit ribosomal RNA", at positions 28 to 638 of the family's 1533-position model. The record is from RNAcentral.
AUUGAACGCUGGCGGCAUGCUUUACACAUGCAAGUCGAACGGUAGAGGCUUCGGCCUUGAGAGUGGCGAACGGGUGAGUAAUGCAUCGGAACAUACCCAGUCGUGGGGGAUAACGUAGCGAAAGUUACGCUAAUACCGCAUACGUCCUGAGGGAGAAAGCGGGGGACCGGUAACGGCCUCGCGCGAUUGGAGUGGCCGAUGUCAGAUUAGCUAGUUGGUGGGGUAAAGGCCUACCAAGGCGACGAUCUGUAGCGGGUCUGAGAGGAUGAUCCGCCACACUGGGACUGAGACACGGCCCAGACUCCUACGGGAGGCAGCAGUGGGGAAUUUUGGACAAUGGGCGCAAGCCUGAUCCAGCCAUGCCGCGUGCGGGAAGAAGGCCUUCGGGUUGUAAACCGCUUUCGGACGGAAAGAAAUCGCCACUCCUAAUACGGGUGGUGGAUGACGGUACCGUAAGAAGAAGCACCGGCUAACUACGUGCCAGCAGCCGCGGUAAUACGUAGGGUGCGAGCGUUAAUCGGAAUUACUGGGCGUAAAGCGUGCGCAGGCGGCUUUUUAAGCCAGACGUGAAAUCCCCGGGCUUAACCUGGGAACUGCGUUUGGAACUGGAA